GAUGAACGCUAGCGGCAGGCUUAAUACAUGCAAGUCGUGGGGCAGCAUGACUGUAGCAAUACAGUUGAUGGCGACCGGCAAACGGGUGCGGAACACGUACACAACCUUCCUUUAAGUGGGGAAUAGCCCAGGGGAAACUUGGAUUAAUACCCCGUAAUAUAUAGAAGUGGCAUCACUUUUAUAUUAUAGCAGCAAUGCGCUUGAAGAUGGGUGUGCGGCUGAUAGGUAGUUGGCGGGGUAACGGCCCACCAAGUCGACGAUCAGUAACUGGUGUGAGAGCACGACCAGUCACACGGGCACUGAGACACGGGCCCGACUCCUACGGGAGGCAGCAGUAAGGAAUAUUGGUCAAUGGACGCAAGUCUGAACCAGCCAUGCCGCGUGGAGGAU
Molecule: ribosomal RNA, 390 nt
Filed under: uncultured bacterium
Lineage: Bacteria
Description: bacterial SSU rRNA
Rfam family: Bacterial small subunit ribosomal RNA
Source: RNAcentral